RNAcentral lists this ribosomal RNA (460 nucleotides) under uncultured bacterium. RNAcentral describes it as "partial 16S ribosomal RNA". It matches the Rfam family "Bacterial small subunit ribosomal RNA", at positions 338 to 795 of the family's 1533-position model. The record is from RNAcentral.
CCUACGGGAGGCUGCAGUGAGGAAUAUUGGUCAAUGGCCGGAAGGCUGAACCAGCCAUGCCGCGUGAAGGUCAGUGCCCUAUGGGCGUUAAACUUCUUUUGUGCGGGAGCAAUAAUGGUCACGUGUGGCCAGACGAGAGUACCGUACGAAUAAGCAUCGGCUAACUCCGUGCCAGCAGCCGCGGUAAGACGGGGGAUGCAAGCGUUAUCCGGAUUUAUUGGGUUUAAAGGGUGCGUAGGCUGUGAGGUAAGUCAGCGGUGAAAUGCCUCCGCUCAACGGGGUGAAGUGCCAUUGAUACUGCCUGGCUGGAAUGCGGAUGCGGUGGGAGGAAUGUGUGGUGUAGCGGUGAAAUGCAUAGAUAUCACACAGAACACCGAUUGCGAAGGCAUCUCACGAAUCCGCGAUUGACGCUGAUGCACGAAAGCGUGGGUAUCAAACAGGAUUAGAUACCCCAGUAGUC